Ornithodoros turicata is the source of this 2221-nucleotide RNA transcript. RefSeq lists it as uncharacterized. NCBI's taxonomy places the organism in Eukaryota, Metazoa, Arthropoda, Arachnida, Ixodida, Argasidae. The record is from RefSeq and is a predicted model, not a curated record. The transcript is spliced from 6 exons.
CUACCGCGGGGUGUGCCCACCUGCGCGCGGCCAGCGGAGGCAUAGACAGCGUUGCCAGACCUCUUUUUGCACGCUAAAUGUUAGCGGAGUACUCGUUUUUGAGGGCAACAAUGCGGAUCUCUAUGGCAACGUAAGUGAGAACGCCUCGGGCGUGGCGUUCGUCUGCUCUCAUGGCCUCCGCAUUGCUCGCCGAGCAGGAAAUAUGUCCACUUGGGGCGAGCGAAGACGACGACGAUUUAGGGCAUCUACUGAUUGCGGAACAAGAUUUGUUUCGUGAGCAUCUGCCUCACUUGGGCACCACGACUUGCUUCUGUAAUUCUUCGACUAUGUUCUCUUAAUCUGAUGCCAGCAUACUUUUGCAGGAUCACUUUCGCCAGUGAAAUUAUGUGAUCAGGCUCCUCUGCAUAGUGCUGGCACAGUGGUAGCUUGUCACCGUGUGUUAGGAUGAAGUGAUUAAACGAUUUCAAAACGAUCACCCGCACUACAAGCUUCACAGACCUCAAUUUCUCUAGACGAAAGGUCUGCUCAGCGCAACACAGCAGACGUGUAACAAAGGAGGAUGGUUUAACCAGCCCUCCAUUGUCCCUGAGCAUGAUGAGAACACUUGAUGUCUCGUCAUCUAGGAGUGUGUCCAAACAACCAUUACAGGUGAGUUUUGAGGAGACAAUUCUAACAACAUAUCCUCCAAUAUAGGCAACAAUGUCCUCGCUGAACCUGCUGAGUCUGGAUGAUUCCCCGUAGUCAUGGUCAGCACACUGUAGAAGGGCACAGAUGUUGUCCUCUGCAGGAACUUCUGCAGUGGGAGUCUCCUCACCUGCACUUUCCUCCCUUCGCGGCUUGCCCUGGUGACCGAGUGUCUCUAUGCCUUCCACUGUAGGAGCGACAUUCGCAGAGCUUGGGGCCUGAACUUCAGCAUGUAUCAGAAGCUUCCUGUAGGCAUGACGGAAUUGGGAAGCUGAUGGGUUGUUAUUCCAUCCUCCUCUUUGCCUGAUGCAGCUGAAGAACAGUUCCAAGUGGUCCUGGCUGAGGCGACCUCUACAUGUUACCUGCAUGCGCCCGCCUGGAACAGCGCUUCUGCCAGCUGUGCAACACUUUUCAGCGUAAAGGCCAUGCUGAUGACUGACAUGCGUCUCCCAUGCUGAGCAGCUAGCUCCCCGGAUGGAAGUCGCAGUGUCAUCAUUCUUGACGACAAUUGGCCACAGUCAUGAAAAUGAAAGGCCUACUCAUCUACGUCGGCAAUGAACGAAGCGGUUGCGUCACUUCCUUCAAAUUCGGUCAAUCCCAGGAGCCGUGCGUGGGUCAGGGCUUUGCUCACGGAUGAACUUAGAGUCUGCGCUGCAAGGCGGACCUUCAUGAUCUGGCGGCCAAACUCAAUAUGGGAUCUGGGUCAGUUGCAGCCGUCGACGGACACCACGCAGGUACUGGUUCUUCUCUCGAAGUUGUCUCAUUCCUGUUCUUGGCGUUGUUUUGCUGUGAUAGGUGUGCUCCUUGUGACCCUUGGGUGUGAUCGGGCUGCCCUCAGUAUCUGUGUUGCUCACAGACACCUGCAAAGUUGCCUGUUGGUUAAGGACAGCAUUCCCCAAUAUUUUGCAUUUUAAAAUUACCGGUUGUCGUGUAGGCGUGGUUUCAUUGCAUGUUUCCGGUUGUUGCUGCCCUGCUCUGGGGUCAGGGGACAAAACAUCUACAGAAAUGUCCUCAAGUCGUUGUGUUUUGGGAUCUGGGCUUUCCUGCUGACACUCCUGAAAUGGUAGUAGGAACUGUCGCUGCUCACAGGAAUUGGAAUGCAUUGUUUCGCAGUGGGCUAUAGUCACAAAAGCAAUUUGUCUGUGUUUUCAUGUUUUUCAGCAGCAGAAGAACCUGACAGCAGCAAGCAGCAGGAAUAAGAAAUGACAUACAGACAUAUACUCACUGCUUUCCGCUUUUGUGGCAGCUUACAGUAGGGAUGGUCCUCAUGGUCAAACAGGCAGUGGAACAGCUGAAGAAGGGACGGCGGGCUCUGCUUGCUCAGCACUGGCUUCAAGCAUUUCCUGGAAAACAUGGAGUGAAGGCAGUCAUACAGGGGGGUGGCUGCACAAACUACUAUGUACUUACCAGGGAAACUGUGUCAGCACCACUUUCAUCUCUUUCAUCUGGCUGGCUGGCUGUUACUUGGCUCUAAAAAAGUUCUUCCAUUAUUAUCUCCUUUUGUAUCAUUUUAAAAGUAAUAAAGAAUAACCGGAUA